This 2216-nucleotide long non-coding RNA is filed under the name Gallus gallus (chicken). Lineage: Eukaryota; Metazoa; Chordata; Aves; Galliformes; Phasianidae. The record is from RNAcentral.
AAAAUAGGGAGCAAUUCUUCAUGAAGUUCAGAAGAUCACAUUGUAAGUAUGCUUAUUACAUUUGCCUUUUAUUUAGCAGUUUUGCAGAGUUGUUACAAUACUUAUCACUGUAAAAGCUGCAAAUUGACACAAACUGCUUACCAUAAUAGUAAUUCUUUGAUCAAUAAUGAAACUUAUUUGAAUGAAAUACGUGCUUUCAGAGCUCUGGAAAUUGUUAUUCAAAUUAGUUUAUUUUCUCUGAUACCUCUUUCUGCCUUCUCCCACCUUAACAGUAAUUACUUGAAAAGCAUGACACCUUAUUUAGUCUGUUGUAAAUGACAUUAGAAUUGAUCAAUUUAUUCAUAAAAUGGGUAUGUUUUGUUAUCUCUUCUGAGACAUUUGAAGAAGAGUUAAACACUGUAAAAAUUUUAUGAAUUUGCAGCUUUGUCAUUCAAAAAUUAACUUCUUGUCAGAAUGGCGUCGCAAGUAAUAUUGGUAAUAAAAACAUAGGAGUUCAACAACAAAUAGGAAAAAGAAAUUGAAGAACACUCAUGCAACUGAGAUGUUGUCAAAUUAACUGUCCCUGCUGUAAUUUACCUAAGGCCACUUAUAAAAUUGAUUGAAAUAAUUUCCAGGCUGCUAGUAAUUGUCUUGUUAACCCACGAGGGAAAUGGUGAAGUUUUGAGAGCCUGGAAAAUGACAAAUACAGAGCCUAUCUUCAGAAAUGGGAAAAAGAAAGGGUCAUGGAUUGCAGAGGAAUCAUCCUAACUUCAGUUCCUGGAAAAAGUUCUGGAACAAUAAUCAACUGAACUAUUUGUAAGCACUUGGAAGAUAACAGGGAGAGUUUGUUGGUGCUGUAGCUGAAACCCAAGUAACAAAAGUGGCAGUAAGCAGAAGGAGGACUAGAACAACAUAUCCCAGGACACCGUGGACUAUGUCACUGGGUACUCUGAAGACUAACAUUAGACAAUCGUAGAAUGUUUUGCAUAUAGCUCAUGUUCUUGUGGUUAAAGAUUCAGUGACCACAGUGUUUCUUCCACUCCAUUUUCUAUGGGCUAUGGUAAAUAUAUCACUGAAACACUGUUCUUUGGCUCUUUUCCUUGUCUUUGUGGACAAUUCCUCUGAAAUAGGAGAUUUUCAUAGUAUCUUAUUGCUAAAGAAACCACAUUUCAGGCAAGGAAAAUGGGGCAGUUGAAAACAUCCAAAAUGUCCUUGAUACCUGCUAUGUUAACACUCACAAAGAAAACAAAAUGUUCCCAAACUAAAGAGUACAGCACAUAGUUUGGUUAGUCACUUUGGAUGUGAUUUUGAAUGAAAAGUCAAGAAUCACAUACUUAGUGGUAUCUUCUUAUAAACUUCUGGGUAUUUAUUAACGAUUAGCUAUAAUUGAACUGUGUUGUUGAGGUAAACUUUUGUAGCAAGGAUACAUCAUUCCAAGAUCAUACACUGCCAUAAAAGAUGGUAUUUGAUAGGAGGGAGUAAAAAAGAUGGAGCCAAGGUCAUUUCUGUGGUGCCCAAUGGGCAAAAACUGAAACACAACUUGUUCCCUCUGAAUAUCAGGAAACACUUUAUUGUGAAGAAGUGUGUGAUUGCAAUAUGGAAGAAUGUAAACUUUUCCAGUAAUUUCUCUACUUUUGGUCUCGAUAUCUGAAAUACUAGCAUUUGUGUUAGUCUAUGCUUUGUUGUUUAGUCAGACUAAUACAUUUUUCAGUUAAUUUGCACUACAUUAUUCACCAAAUGUAAGUUCCAGUCUUGCAAGAACAAUAUUUUCCUUUUUUAUGUCCUUGCCAUAAUUUGAACGCUAUUUAGUGUGUUCCUUCUGCUGAUUCAGAGCCAUAGUCCAACUUCUGGCAUUUCUAUCUGUUAGCAUAUCUGUCAUUUUGCUGUGGAACACUUCUGGCUUGUUUGAGGUACCACAAUAAAUUUUUUAUCCAAUAACAUAUCAGAUGUACUCACUGACAAAUGCAAAAAUAAACAAACAUAAAAAUUGGAAACACAGUGUUUACAAAAGGGGGAGAGUCAUAUUAUGUGACCAGCUGAACAGAAGAUAAUGAGCUGAGUCACACAGAGACGCAUAACAUUCUUCACAGUGGGUGGAAAGAUUAUGAACUACGUGAGUCCCCGGCUGACAUAUUCAGGUACUAGGUGCCCCUUCAUCCCUUAGACACAUUAUGAAAUCUGGUAUGUGGCAAAGGUAUGUUACAGCAUCUGCAUAAGUAACGGUAUCUCUCAGUAAG